RNAcentral lists this long non-coding RNA (335 nucleotides) under Homo sapiens (human). Its description in RNAcentral is "non-protein coding lnc-RAD23B-10:2". Lineage: Eukaryota; Metazoa; Chordata; Mammalia; Primates; Hominidae. The record is from RNAcentral.
AGUUUGGUGCUGAGUGCUCUGGACGCCCCAGCAGGGCCGGAGAAAAUCUGCAGAGGCAGCAGCAACUGAGCAAGAGGCCUGACCUUCACACCUAUGUAACCCAAGGUCACAGAAAUGCUGAGGGGCCAUGUGACUCCAGUGAAGCAGGAGUAUCCAUCCAGCCACAGAGAUGGGACCUGUCCAAAUGGGACCUGUCUGUUCCAAAGGUUAUUCUGCUUGUUCUGGAGACUGGGAAUUCCAAGAGCAUGAUACCAGCAUCUGGCGAGCGUUAUCCCCUGGUAGGAAGUAUCACAUGGUGAGUGAAUGUAUAAGACAGAGAGAAAAGUGAACCGAAC